GUGAAGNGACCCCGCGAGGGCAAGCCAAUCACAGAAAAGCCAUCUCAGUUCGGAUUGUAGUCUGCAACCCGACUACAUGAAGCUGGAAUCGCUAGUAAUCGCGAAUCAGAAUGUCGCGGUGAAUACGUUCCCGGGUCUUGUACACACCGCCCGUCACACCAUGGGAGCCGGGAAUGCCCGAAGUCAGUGGCCCAACCGCAAGGGGGAGCUGCCGAAGGCAGGCCUGGUGACUGGGGUGAAGUCGUAACAAGGUAAC
This 256-nucleotide ribosomal RNA is filed under the name uncultured bacterium. Its description in RNAcentral is "partial 16S ribosomal RNA". It matches the Rfam family "Bacterial small subunit ribosomal RNA", at positions 1244 to 1500 of the family's 1533-position model. The record is from RNAcentral.